UGCGUAGGCGUCCAGGAAAGUUAUUUGUUAAAGCCUUCGGCUUAACCGGAGAUAUGCAAGUAAAACUAUCUGGAUAGAGUUUAAGAGAGGAAAAUGGAAUUCCUGGUGUAGCGGUGACAUGCGUAGAUAUCAGGAGGAACAUCAAUGGCGAAGGCAGUUUUCUGGCUUAAAACUGACGCUGAGGCACGAAAGCGUGGGGAGCGAACAGGAUUAGAUACCCUGGUAGUCC
Molecule: ribosomal RNA, 229 nt
Filed under: uncultured bacterium
Lineage: Bacteria
Description: partial 16S ribosomal RNA
Rfam family: Bacterial small subunit ribosomal RNA
Source: RNAcentral